Molecule: long non-coding RNA, 968 nt
Organism: Acomys russatus (golden spiny mouse)
Lineage: Eukaryota; Metazoa; Chordata; Mammalia; Rodentia; Muridae
Exons: 3
Source: RefSeq, a predicted model, not a curated record
AGCAGCCCUUGUAGACGCGGCCGCUGGCAUUGUAGCAGUUCACGACCGGCGGCAUGGUGCCCUGGCAUUUCUCGCGGCUUAGUCCCACGCAGCUGUAGCACUCUGCGCCAUUGGGCUCAUACGCACUCUCAUUGCCUGCAGGAGGACCCGCGCUGGAGGCGAGUACCAACUUUUCUACAGAGAGAGAACCAACAGGAAAAGGGCAACGCAGUGAGCCAAGAACUGAGGUCUGGAACUGGACGGACUAACAUUUUAAACAUGCUGUGUGGCUCCAGGUAACUGAAUCUCCCUCUCUGAAUUCCAUCUACUUCCUUUGUCAAUUAAGUCUGAAACCCUAGGAGAGCUAGAAGUCCCUGUGAGUGGCAGACAGGGUGAUACUGCUGCGCACUAGACUUAGGAGGCCCCACAGGCCCCAGGAGUGUGGGAGAGUUUCAUGGGAGGAACCCCAACUGGCCAGACCAGAAGAGCAAGCAUCUUGGGAGGGAAUGGGACCCGGGUGUGGAGUCUGCUCUUGCUCAGGCCUGUCUGGAUAUGGGCUGCUGACCUGAGCCUGGCCCCAGCCAGGAACAGGAGUUUGUUCCUAGGCUUGUUUGGUUGGCUAGCAUAACUACUUAGUUUGUCUAUUUGCAUAUUCAUUUUGUUUAUUUGCAUACUCAUUUGGUCAAUUUGCAUAUUUGUCUGGUUGGUUUGCAUGUUUGUUUAUGCAUUUGUUUUCUUGCAAUGUUUUUAUUUUUGUUGUGGUAAAUGGAGAUGGAGCUCCGGGCUGGUGCCUUCCAGGCCAGUGAGCCACUCAGCUCCUCACUCACUGGAGGAGUAUGGGGAUUCUCGCUUACUGAGAUCCACAGAGGGGUUCCCACAUAAACACAGAGGCCUCUUCAGAGGCAGCCACCUGACACAAGCCUCUAACAUGCCUGGGGCCUUGUCUGGGAUGGCCUUCUGAUCCUCUCGGAAUCGGGGCAGGCUCUGAA